Triticum aestivum (bread wheat) is the source of this 135-nucleotide non-coding RNA. NCBI's taxonomy places the organism in Eukaryota, Viridiplantae, Streptophyta, Magnoliopsida, Poales, Poaceae. The record is from Rfam.
CAACUACUCCCUCCAUCCCAAAAUUCUUGUCUUAGAUUUGUCUAGAUACAGAUGUAUCUAAUACUAAAACGUGACUUGAUACAUCCGUAUUUAGACAAAUCUAAGACAAGAAUUUUGGGACGGAGGGAGUAUAUA